UUUAGCCAAAGCAGUACUCCUUGGACCCAAGGACAUCUGGACACCAGCCAUUCCUGUUGGGUUCUUACUGCCUGAACACCAAGACCUUCAUCAGCCCUGUGAAGACCCGGGAGAGGCCUCAGCCAUGAAGAUCCUGUACCUGCUCUUCUCCAUCUUCUUCCUGUUGAUCCAGGGUUCUGCAGUGUUCUCCAUGGAACCACAAAAGUUGGGGUGCAGACAAAGGGGGGGAUACUGCACUAGUGCAUACUGCCGCCGUACUUCAAGAAUUUAUGCAACUUGUCCAAGAUUGCUACAUUGCUGCAAAAGAAUCUGAGGUUGAGACCCUGAACUCUGUCAGCAGGACGUCCCCCUUUCUUCUGGCUUCUGGAACCAUCUCGUGAUGUCCUCUCCUCCUUCUGCCUCUGCCAUCCCCAGGUGAUGUGACAGCACUGCUGGGUGCCCGGCUGCUCGUGGGUGAGAGACAUCCCAGAGCUGGUGUCAUUGGGGCAGAGGCUUCUUUUCCUGGCUUGAAUAAA
Molecule: long non-coding RNA, 515 nt
Organism: Calidris pugnax (ruff)
Lineage: Eukaryota; Metazoa; Chordata; Aves; Charadriiformes; Scolopacidae
Exons: 4
Source: RefSeq, a predicted model, not a curated record